UACGUAGGGGGCUAGCGUUGUCCGGAUUUAUUGGGCGUAAAGAGCGUGUAGGCGGCCAUGUAGGUCCGGUGUGAAAACUCGAGGCUUAACCUCGAGAUGUCAUCGGAAACCAUUUGGCUAGAGUCCGGAAGAGGAGAGUGGAAUUCCUGGCGUAGCGGUGAAAUGCGCAGAUAUCAGGAAGAACACCAAUGGCGAAAGCAGCUCUCUGGGACGGUACUGACGCUGAGACGCGAAAGCGUGGGGAGCGAACAGG
RNAcentral lists this ribosomal RNA (253 nucleotides) under uncultured bacterium. Its description in RNAcentral is "partial 16S ribosomal RNA". It matches the Rfam family "Bacterial small subunit ribosomal RNA", at positions 524 to 776 of the family's 1533-position model. The record is from RNAcentral.